This 459-nucleotide ribosomal RNA is filed under the name uncultured bacterium. RNAcentral describes it as "partial 16S ribosomal RNA". It matches the Rfam family "Bacterial small subunit ribosomal RNA", at positions 338 to 795 of the family's 1533-position model. The record is from RNAcentral.
CCUACGGGAGGCAGCAGUGAGGAAUAUUGGUCAAUGGGCGCGAGCCUGAACCAGCCAAGUCGCGUGAGGGAAGACGGUCCUAUGGAGUGUAAACCGCUGUUGUCGGGGAGCAAAAGACGCCACGCGUGGCGUUCCGAGAGUACCCGAAGAAAAAGCAUCGGCUAACGCCGUGCCAGCAGCCGCGGUAAUACGGAGGAUGCGAGCGUUAUCCGGAUUUAUUGGGGUUAAAGGGGGCGCAGGCGGAAGAUCAAGUCAGCGGUACAAUUGAGAGGCUCAACCUCUUCGAGCCGUUGAAACUGGUUUUCUUGAGUGCGUGAGCCGUAUGCGGAAUGCGUGGUGUAGCGGUGCAAUGCCUAGCUAUCACGCAGAACUCCGAUUGCGACGGCAGCAUCCCGGCGCUCAACUGACGCUCAUGCACGAUAGUGUGGGUAUCGAACAGGAUUAGAUCCCCCAGUAGUC